CCUACGGGUGGCAGCAGUGGGGAAUAUUGUACAAUGGGCGAAAGCCUGAUGCAGCAACGCCGCGUGAAGGAAGAAGGCUUUCGGGUUGUAAACUUCUUUUGUCAGGGACGAAGCAAGUGACGGUACCUGACGAAUAAGCCACGGCUAACUACGUGCCAGCAGCCGCGGUAAUACGUAGGUGGCAAGCGUUAUCCGGAUUUAUUGGGUGUAAAGGGCGUGUAGGCGGGAAUGCAAGUCAGAUGUGAAAACUAUGGGCUCAACCCAUAGCCUGCAUUUGAAACUGUAUUUCUUGAGUGCUGGAGAGGCAAUCGGAAUUCCGGGUGUAGCGGUGAAAUGCGUAGAUAUACGGAGGAACACCAGUGGCGAAGGCGGAUUGCUGGACAGUAACUGACGCUGAGGCGCGAAAGCGUGGGGAGCAAACAGGAUUAGAUACCCCGGUAGUC
Molecule: ribosomal RNA, 443 nt
Filed under: uncultured bacterium
Lineage: Bacteria
Description: partial 16S ribosomal RNA
Rfam family: Bacterial small subunit ribosomal RNA
Source: RNAcentral